CGUAACAAGGUCUCCGUUGGUGAACCAGCGGAGGGAUCAUUACAGAGUUGCAAAACUCCCACAAACCAUCGCGAAUCUUACCCGUACGGUUGCCUCGGCGCUGGCGGUCCGGAAGGCCCUCGGGCCCCCGGAUCCUCGGGUCUCCCGCUCGCGGGAGGCUGCCCGCCGGAGUGCCGAAACUAAACUCUUGAUAUUUUAUGUCUCUCUGAGUAAACUUUUAAAUAAGUCAAAACUUUCAACAACGGAUCUCUUGGUUCUGGCAUCGAUGAAGAACGCAGCGAAAUGCGAUAAGUAAUGUGAAUUGCAGAAUUCAGUGAAUCAUCGAAUCUUUGAACGCACAUUGCGCCCGCCAGUAUUCUGGCGGGCAUGCCUGUCCGAGCGUCAUUUCAACCAUCAAGCUCUGCUUGCGUUGGGGAUCCGCGGCUGCCCGCGGUCCCUCAAAAACAGUGGCGGGCUCGCUAGUCACACCGAGCGUAGUAACUCUACAUCGCUAUGGUCGUGCGGCGGGUUCUUGCCGUAAAACCCCCCAAUUUUUAAGGUUGACCUCGGAUCAGGUAGGAAUACCCGCUGAACUUAAGCAUAUCAAUAAGCGG
Molecule: ribosomal RNA, 593 nt
Filed under: Neurospora bonaerensis
Lineage: Eukaryota; Fungi; Ascomycota; Sordariomycetes; Sordariales; Sordariaceae
Description: eukaryotic LSU rRNA
Rfam family: 5.8S ribosomal RNA (bases 231-384)
Source: RNAcentral